Molecule: long non-coding RNA, 700 nt
Filed under: Mytilus galloprovincialis (Mediterranean mussel)
Lineage: Eukaryota; Metazoa; Mollusca; Bivalvia; Mytilida; Mytilidae
Source: RNAcentral
CUCCUUUUAACUGUAAUUGCCGUUUCUUCUUGUUUUAACUGUUAUUUUCGUUUCCUCUUGUUUUAACUGUAAUUGCCGUUUCCUCUUGUUUUAACUGUAAUUGCCGUUUCUUCUUGUUGUGUGUCUACUGACCGUCGUCUCCUGUUCCAUGUUAAAUGUUUUGUAUUCUCUUUUUCAUGUGAAAUUACCGUUUAACACAUGUCUAGUCAAAUGUGUAAAUACCGCCCCAUUUUGUUUUAUGUGUUAUGGCCGUUUUCUUUUGUUUUAUGUUUAAUGGCAUUUUUGUUAGUGUUUAAUGUGUAAUGACCGUUUCUUCUUGUUUGAUGUACAAUUGCUAUUUCCGCCUGUUUUAUUUACAUUGGCCGUUCUCUCUUGUUUCAAGCGUAAUGGCCGUUUCCUAGUGAUUUAACUGUAGUUUUCGUUUCUUCUUGUUUGAACUGUAAUUGCCGUUUCCUCUUGUGUUAAUUGUAAUCGCCGUUUCCUUUUGUUUUAACUGAAAUUGCCGUUUCCUCUUGUUUUAACUGUAAUUGUCGUUUCAUCUUGUUUUAAUUGUAAUCGUCGUUUCCUCUUGUUUUAACUGUAAUUGUCGUUUCCUCUUGUUUCUGUAAUUGUCGUUUCCUCUUGUUUUAACUGUAAUUGUCCUUUCAUCUUGUUUUAACAGUAGUUGCCGUUUCCUCUUGUUUUAACUGUAAUUGUCGUU